UGAUGAUGGUGAGGGAAAUUUCUAAGCAUACCCUUAAAUCUUUCCCUAGCUUGGUAAAUAUUUUCUCUUUCUUUUCGCCUGAAACUCCAAAUCUCUCUUCUCAAACG
Molecule: small nucleolar RNA, 107 nt
Organism: Capsicum annuum
Lineage: Eukaryota; Viridiplantae; Streptophyta; Magnoliopsida; Solanales; Solanaceae
Source: RefSeq, a predicted model, not a curated record